AGGAAUGAGAAGUUCUAACGGGG
Molecule: ribosomal RNA, 23 nt
Filed under: Sanguisorba minor
Lineage: Eukaryota; Viridiplantae; Streptophyta; Magnoliopsida; Rosales; Rosaceae
Description: partial 18S ribosomal RNA
Source: RNAcentral